Long non-coding RNA from Lagopus muta (rock ptarmigan), 2118 nucleotides. RefSeq lists it as uncharacterized. The record is from RefSeq and is a predicted model, not a curated record. Lineage: Eukaryota; Metazoa; Chordata; Aves; Galliformes; Phasianidae. The transcript has 3 exons.
UAUACGUGCUUGAUUAAUUGAUAUAAUCACAUAUCCUUUGGAAUUUAGCAUAUAAAAAUAUUUUUUUCUUUAAAGUUAAUUGUGUCAUGAAUGAGAUUUAAUUAAAUCAUGAUAGUAUGCUGAAACAAUGACUCUGCAAGAUAAAGAAAAGUUGUAAUGGUUGAAAUGUCAUAUUAUACAUGCCUUUCUACUCUUAGUUUUUGAAACUUAGUAGUCCCUUCAUAGAAUAAAAUAAAAUAAAAUAAAAUAAAAUAAAAUAAAAUAAAAUAAAAUAAAAUGAAGGGAAAAGGAAAAGAAGGAGAAGGAAAAGGGAAAGGGGAAGAGGGAGAGGCAGAGGGAGAAGGGAGGGGAGAAGGUAGGAGAGGAUAUGGUUCAGCAGCAAUACUGGUUUGAAGUAUUCCUGACUAUCCACAGCAUCUUAUUUUCCUAAGGAUUCAUCACAUUGCCUUCACAGCUGCAGUAGUGCAGCUGUUGGCAUGGAUAUGAUGUGAAAAAGACCUAACAUGAAAAAAAACUUUCCAAAAAGUCUCAUAUUCUAUAUCAAAAAUAUAGCGUCAAUGAGGCUACAGUGUUACCAAAUCUUUCUUAGUGUUAUUACCUUUUGUGUUUAUUAGCAGAUGAAAAAAUGAUUUUUGUUAGUCCCUGAUCUGGUCAGUUAAGGUAGGCUUUUUUUCUUAAAAAUUCUAUAUUGAAUUGACUCAAUAACCUAAGUUCAUUUUUUUCAAUAACUUCAGCACUCUUUUCUCUCCUCCAUUCAAAGUUUUUUAAUGCACAUGGUGUAGUUCAUCAACCAGUUCCUCUCUUCUAGCAGAAAUAAAGGAAUCUGACUUUUAGGUUGUGACCUGGUUUGUCUCAGUGUCUUUAUGCAAUGUCCAAACAUGAUAUUUUUGGAGACCCAGUUAUGCAUCAGAUUUUUUCAGCAUCUGUUAUAGCAGAGGUGAUGUAUGAGCACAAGAUUAACAUAAAUCUGCAAGAAUAAUGUCAACUUACAAAAUCUACGUUGACAAAAAUGAAAAGAAUGAAUACAUGAAUCUGAAAAUAGAUCCAUAUAUUGUGUGCUGGUGGGUAUUUUAGAACUGGAUUUAUGGGUCUUACCUUCCUUUUGAUAAGCAUACUUGGACAAGUUUUCUCUAAAAGCUUUAACAGGAAUCCCUCAAAGAGUUUUGCAAUAAAUUAACAUUAAAAAACCCAAAAACUGAAUCAGUUAAAUGCUGAUUUUUCUGGUUUGUAUAAAUAUUUGACCGUUUCAUUGUCCCUUUGUGUUAACUAUUUGCAAACUGGAAUGCAGAGAGCAAAUUGCAAAAGCCGGUUUUAAUUCUUACAGCUUUUUCAAUCACCCAGAUAAUUUUAACUUUCUGUAUUAUACCAUGUGCCAUAGGAAAAAUAAUUCUGAAAGCUGUAAAUUUUGUACCAAAUGCCAUACUUUUCUUUGAAAACAAUAGUAAAGACCAAUUGGGUCUCAUAUAGCAACUGCUUCCACUCAAAAAAAAAAAAAACAAAAAACCAAACAAACAAACAAAAAAAAAACCAACAAAAAAAAAGUGAAAAAAUUCAGGUUUCAUCAAUAUAGUAUUGCAAAAACAAAAAACAGUUGGACAUGUGAUAGGAAUUUCUUUGAAAUGCAGCAGCUCCUAGGAACAGUGAUAUGAUCCAUCUAGGUGAAAGCUACAUUUUGCUUUGUUUCUGUCACAAUAUAUUAAAAUUAUACUGUCAUUAGAAUGAGAAUGUAUGGGAACUGUUGAGUCACAGCCUGCACCACUGAUUGAGCACCUGGGGAAAGGAUUGGUCAGCCCUGGGAGCACAGGUGAAGGCAAUUCAGCUGUGUGAUCGGAAGAGCACCUCUCUCAGACUUCAUCUAAGGACUGACUGCCACUCCUUGGUGGAGCUUUCUCCUGUGAACCUGGAAUCUUUUGAUAUGGGUGAAGUAUUGCUAAGGUGCUGCCUGGCACAUGAGGUGGGAAAGGCAUUCCUCACAUGUUCAGAGAGGCAAAACGUGUGUACAUGAUCACAAAAGUAUAUGUAUUUUAGGAAAAGAUUUGAGAAUCCCCUUUAAUUUUCAGUCCCUUUGAAUAUGCUUUACCUUUUGUUUUUGCAAAGGCAGUUAGAAAGCAUACAGAG